This is a long non-coding RNA of Cyprinus carpio carpio, 1275 nucleotides long. NCBI's taxonomy places the organism in Eukaryota, Metazoa, Chordata, Actinopteri, Cypriniformes, Cyprinidae. The record is from Ensembl.
UUUGUAAUUUUUCAAACAACUUCAACAAAUAAAGUUUUUCUUAAAACAUGGCAUGUAAAUUUAUCUUCUUGGACUGAAAUAUAUGGAGAGCAAAAUAUAUUUUAAAAUUCUUUAAAGGGGUCAUGACAUGGUUUUUUUUAUUUUAUUAUUAUGGUCCCCUAGGUGCAAUUAUAGUAUUACUAUAGUUUUUUUUUUUUUUUUAACUUUUAAAAUGUAGUGAAUUAUGACAUGUUCUCACCCUGUUUCUCAUCCUUUGAUUCAAACAGUCUGUUUUUGGGUUGUUUCCCCUUUAAGAGUUCAGUGUUAACGCCCAUUGUUAUGAUUGGCUAACAACAGUGCCUAUGGAUCAAUUAUUAAAACCCCCAGCCAGAACAUUUGUGGAUUGAGCGUAACUGUUUAGUAGCGGGUGAUGCAUUCGAAGCGAUGGCUCUUGCAAUGAUAAAACCUUAUAUGUUUGAGCACAUCUGCGUGGCAUUGUAGUUUUCCUGUACACAGACCCACUGUAUUUAGAGCUUGAUUAAAUAAAUGGCUCGUUUAUAAUGGGGAGGACGUCUUAAGCUAUGAAACUUGCAGGACGUUUUAAUGGUACAAAGACCUCUUAUAUUCCAAAAGAUCAAGGCAAAUUUGGUUUCUCAUUUCAUGACCCCUUUAAAAAAUAUUUCUAUUUCUUUUAUUUAUUUAUUUAUUUUGGUAAUUAACAAGACUUCUGGGGUUUUAUAGUUGUUCAGUUCUCCUAAUUAGCAGACGCUUCCUUUCAUUUCAAUCUGAAGGUCGUACAGGAUGAACAAAAGGACACUAUUUAUAAGGCUGUUUGCUUUUGUAAGGUCCGAAAGGUCAUUUCAAGAGACCGGUUUUUGGUAAAUCCCAUGCAAACUUCAUUCUGGACAAACAAACCUUCGCCAUUUCUGUCCAGUGUUGUUCUAGCAUGCGGGAACAUCACAUCCUUGAUUACUGCCAGCCAUGUUUCUACGGGGACUAUCAAUCUCCCUGGCAACAGCACUAAUGUGAGUAUGUUUCUGUGUUGCUCCUUGAACAUUGCUUUAGCUGCACACCUCCUACAGCGGCAACACUCCCCUGGCGUCUCUGGCUUUCCUGUGCGAUCAGUGAAACCCAAGAAAAACAAUGCAUUACAAAUAAACAGAAUACAAGUGAUAUAAACAAUUCACUGCAAAAAUAAUGCUUUGUUUUGAUUGCUUGAGGAGGCGUUUUAAACUGUAAAAGGUGAUGCUUUUACUUACAAAUAAUGUUUCUUUACAAAUACAAUGCUCAUUCUUG